Molecule: regulatory RNA element, 135 nt
Organism: Firmicutes bacterium CAG:41
Lineage: Bacteria; Bacillati; Bacillota
Rfam family: Ribosomal protein L10 leader
About the family: This family is a putative r-protein leader autoregulatory structure found in B. subtilis and other low-GC Gram-positive bacteria.
Source: Rfam
ACUAUAAAAGUUGAAAAUCCGUAGACAGUCGGCGGCUUGCAAUGUACAUUGCAGACAUAAGUCCUACCGAGGGUGUUUUGGUAAUGACUAUUACAAAGCUCUUGGUCUAUGACUGAGAGCUUUUUGUUUUAUAUG